RNAcentral lists this ribosomal RNA (468 nucleotides) under uncultured bacterium. RNAcentral's name for it is "partial 16S ribosomal RNA". It matches the Rfam family "Bacterial small subunit ribosomal RNA", at positions 28 to 507 of the family's 1533-position model. The record is from RNAcentral.
GACGAACGCUGGCGGCGUGCUUAACACAUGCAAGUCGAACGGAAAGGCCCUGCUUUUGUGGGGUGCUCGAGUGGCGAACGGGUGAGUAACACGUGAGUAUCCUGCCCUUGACUGUGUGAUAACUUCAGGAAACUGGGGCUAAUACCGGCUAGGAGCUCCUGCUGCAUGGGGGGGGUUGGAAAGUUUCGGCGGUUGGGGAUGGACUGGCGGCUUAUCAGCUUGUUGGUGGGGUAGUUGCUUACCAGGGCUUUGACGGGUAGCCGGCCUGAGAGGGGGACCGGCCACAAUGGGACUGAGAUACGGCCCAGACUCCUACGGGAGGCAGCAGUGGGGAAUAUUGCACAAUGGGCGGAAGCCUGAUGCAGCAACGCCGCGUGCGGGAUGACGGCCUUCGGGUUGUAAACCGCUUUCGCCUGUGACGAAGCGUGAGUGACGGUAAUGGGUAAAGAAGCACCGGCUAACUACGUG